This 322-nucleotide ribosomal RNA is filed under the name uncultured eukaryote. RNAcentral's name for it is "partial 18S ribosomal RNA". It matches the Rfam family "Eukaryotic small subunit ribosomal RNA", at positions 1470 to 1796 of the family's 1831-position model. The record is from RNAcentral.
CCCUUAGAUGUUCUGGGCCGCACGCGUGCUACACUGAGUGGAUCAGCGGGUCAGGUUGCGCGAAAGUGUUUCCUAAUCUUGAAAUCCGCUCGUGAUGGGGAUUGACGGUUGCAAUUUUCCGUCAUGAACGAGGAAUACCUUGUAAGCGCGGGUCAUCAUCCCGCGCUGAAUACGUCCCUGCCCUUUGUACACACCGCCCGUCGUUCCUACCGAUUGAGUGGUCCGGUGAGGCUUUGGGAUCUGAGCAAAAAGAGCGUUUCGCUCGUUUGGCUCGGAAAACUCAGUCGAACCUUAUCAUUUAGAGGAAGGAGAAGUCGUAACA